This 312-nucleotide ribosomal RNA is filed under the name Triticum aestivum (bread wheat). Its description in RNAcentral is "partial small subunit ribosomal RNA". The record is from RNAcentral. Lineage: Eukaryota; Viridiplantae; Streptophyta; Magnoliopsida; Poales; Poaceae.
AUGGUAUUGUGUGGUGUGUGCAUGAAUAUGUGGUUGUCGUUGCUCGAUACUGCAACAGGUAUUGUGCUGCACAACAUAUGCUUGCAACAACGCCUAUGUUGCAAAACGGCUGGUCAAGUCGAAUUGCGUUGCCCGCCGUACGAUCGUGCACGAGUCAUCAUCCUGCAGGGUGGAAUCAUUUCCCUAUAUAUUUUGGCUACACCAAACGUACCCAAAGUUUUCAUGAACGCUGAUGCAUCCUGCCAAAAUGCCACGUUACGUAUUGGCCUCGGAUGGAUUCAGGACGGGAAUUUUUGCUCUGUUUGCUCUUAG